Molecule: long non-coding RNA, 524 nt
Filed under: Rattus norvegicus (Norway rat)
Lineage: Eukaryota; Metazoa; Chordata; Mammalia; Rodentia; Muridae
Description: long non-coding RNA NONRATT004047
Source: RNAcentral
AACAAACAAACAAACAAACAAACCCAAAAUGGGUGUCCACAGGUAUGUGGAUUUCCUUCUGUUUUCUUUGUUUGUUGGUUUUAUUCCAUUCCAUUGAUCAGCCUGCUUUUAUGCCAAUACCAUGCAGUUUGUUUUGUUUGUUUGUUACUAUUUCUCUGUAGUAUAGCUGGAAAUCAGGGAUGGAGAUGUCUCCAGAUGGUCUCUUAUUACUAUCAUUUUAUUAACUAUCCUGAGCUAUUUGGUUUUUCCAUAUGGAGUAUGGUUUUUUCAAGGACUGUAAAGAACUGUUUUAAUGGGGAUUACAUUGAAUCUGUAGAUUGCUUUUGGUAGGAUGACCCUUCUUAGGAUGUUAAUCCUACCAAGCCGUAUGAGUUCCCUGGUAGAAUUUUUGGAGUCACUUAUGUGUACUAUCAUAUCAUUUGCAAAUGGUGAUGCUUUGACUUUAUCCUUUUCAAUUGGUAUCCCCUUCAUCUCCUUGUACUAAAUUGAAUAGAUACAGAUGUUGUUGUAAAAAUAAAAAAAAA